RNAcentral lists this ribosomal RNA (254 nucleotides) under uncultured bacterium. Its description in RNAcentral is "partial 16S ribosomal RNA". It matches the Rfam family "Bacterial small subunit ribosomal RNA", at positions 524 to 776 of the family's 1533-position model. The record is from RNAcentral.
UACGUAGGGGGCUAGCGUUGCUCGGAAUCACUGGGCGUAAAGGGCGCGUAGGCGGCCAGCACAAGUCAGUUGUGAAAUCUCCGAGCUUAACUCGGAAAGGUCAACUGAUACUGUGCGGCUAGAGUGCGGAAGGGGCAACUGGAAUUCUUGGUGUAGCGGUGAAAUGCGUAGAUAUCAAGAGGAACACCUGCGGCGAAGGCGGGUUGCUGGGCCGACACUGACGCUGAGGCGCGAAAGCCAGGGGAGCGAACGGG